UCGUCCUACGGGGGGCAGCAGUGAGGAAUAUUGGUCAAUGGUCGGGAGACUGAACCAGCCAAGCCGCGUGAGGGAGGAAGGUACAGAGUAUCGUAAACCUCUUUUGUCAGGGAACAAAGACUGGGACGCGUCCCCGGAUGAGUGUACCUGAAGAAAAAGCAUCGGCUAACUCCGUGCCAGCAGCCGCGGUAAUACGGAGGAUGCGAGCGUUAUCCGGAUUUACUGGGUGUAAAGGGAGCGUAGGCGGCUGUGUAAGCCAGAAGUGAAAGCCCGAGGCUCAACCAUGGGACUGCUUUUGGAACUAC
Molecule: ribosomal RNA, 305 nt
Filed under: uncultured bacterium
Lineage: Bacteria
Description: bacterial SSU rRNA
Rfam family: Bacterial small subunit ribosomal RNA
Source: RNAcentral